GUGUGUGUGUGUGUUGGCAAGAAAGUCAAUUUAAUUUGGAUCAUUUGCAUGUCUGCUGACUCAGCAGCCAGUGGUCAACAUGGGCCUGGCGGCGUCGGGGGUGUUCUCCGCACCCGCAGGGGUCCUGGGUGGGGGUGGGCUUCUGGAAAACGUGCAAAACGUCCCAGGCAGCAGGAAGCAGGCGGUGGCG
Hippocampus comes (tiger tail seahorse) is the source of this 190-nucleotide long non-coding RNA. RefSeq lists it as uncharacterized. Lineage: Eukaryota; Metazoa; Chordata; Actinopteri; Syngnathiformes; Syngnathidae. The record is from RefSeq and is a predicted model, not a curated record. The transcript is spliced from 3 exons.